Molecule: ribosomal RNA, 148 nt
Filed under: uncultured eukaryote
Lineage: Eukaryota
Description: partial 18S ribosomal RNA
Rfam family: Eukaryotic small subunit ribosomal RNA
Source: RNAcentral
UGGUGGAGUGAUUUGUCUGGUUAAUUCCGUUAACGAACGAGACCUCGACCUGCUAAAUAGUCUGCCGAACGCAUUACGCGUUCGCCGCAAUUACGACUUCUUAGAGGGACUAUCGGUGCGAAGCCGGUGGAAGUUCGAGGCAAAAACA